UAACCAGACUCCUACGGGAGGCAGCAGUGGGGAAUAUUGCACAAUGGGGGAAACCCUGAUGCAGCGACGCCGCGUGGGUGACGAAGUCUUUCGGUAUGUAAAGCCCUAUCAGCAGGGAAGAAGAUGACAGUACCUGACUAAGAAGCCCCGGCUAACUACGUGCCAGCAGCCGCGGUAAUACGUGGGGGGCAAGCGUUAUCCGGAUUUACUGGGUGUAAAGGGCGCGUAGGUGGGCGCUUAAGUCAGGUGUGAAAACUCCGGGCUCAACCUGGAGACUGCACUUGAAACUGGGUGUCUUGAGGGCAGGAGAGGAAAGUGGAAUUCCUAGUGUAGCGGUGAAAUGCGUAGAUAUUAGGAGGAACACCAGUGGCGAAGGCGACUUUCUGGACUGUACCUGACGCUGAGGCGCGAAAGCGUGGGUAGCGAACGGGAUUAGAUACCCGCGUA
Molecule: ribosomal RNA, 447 nt
Filed under: uncultured bacterium
Lineage: Bacteria
Description: bacterial SSU rRNA
Rfam family: Bacterial small subunit ribosomal RNA
Source: RNAcentral